GGAUUGAGGCUCAGUGGUAAAGUGUUUGCCUAGCAUGUAUGAGGCACUGGGUUUGAUUCUCAGCACCA
This 68-nucleotide transfer RNA is filed under the name Marmota monax (woodchuck). RNAcentral describes it as "tRNA.Ala". Lineage: Eukaryota; Metazoa; Chordata; Mammalia; Rodentia; Sciuridae. The record is from RNAcentral.